AUGCAUGCGGUAGCUGUUGCUACACUUCCUCUUUCCCCUGUCGAUGGGAUUGUGGAAGACAAAAUGGAAGCAUGCUAGAAAAAAGCUCAUGGAGUUAACAGGGCCACCAGUCUCUCAAGAACAGACUGGUUUUGGUAGUAUAAUACUCCAACAUUG
Puntigrus tetrazona (Sumatra barb) is the source of this 156-nucleotide small nucleolar RNA. RefSeq annotates it as small nucleolar RNA U109. The transcript has a single exon. Lineage: Eukaryota; Metazoa; Chordata; Actinopteri; Cypriniformes; Cyprinidae. The record is from RefSeq and is a predicted model, not a curated record.